CAGCAGAAAACAGAAUGUUCGUGUCCAACAAAACCAUUUAACAAGGACAGAGUCCCAACUCUAACACUUUAGACCAAGUCACUCCUGCAUAAUGAGUCAAAAUAGUGAAAUAGAUUCUUCAAUACCUGGGAUGAACACUAACGGUAGCUGCCUCCGACCCGGUCAUAUGGACCAGAACGUUCACGGCUAUAGCUGCUAUAGCGGUCACCCACAGGCGCACCACGG
Molecule: unclassified non-coding RNA, 225 nt
Filed under: Hevea brasiliensis (rubber tree)
Lineage: Eukaryota; Viridiplantae; Streptophyta; Magnoliopsida; Malpighiales; Euphorbiaceae
Source: RNAcentral